Molecule: long non-coding RNA, 316 nt
Organism: Neopelma chrysocephalum (saffron-crested tyrant-manakin)
Lineage: Eukaryota; Metazoa; Chordata; Aves; Passeriformes; Pipridae
Exons: 3
Source: RefSeq, a predicted model, not a curated record
CUGAGGUGCCCCCCACCCCAUGAUGCCAGCUGUACCUGGGGGUGGUCCUGGCCGCCGUCGUCAUCGUCACCGGCUGCUUCUCCUACUACCAAGAGGCCAAGAGCUCCAAGAUCAUGGACUCCUUCAAGAACAUGGUGCCACAGCAAGCGCUGGUGAUCCGGGAGGGAGAGAAGAUCCAGAUCAACGCCGAGAACGUGGUGGUGGGAGACCUGGUGGAGGUCAAGGGAGGGGACAGGGUGCCCGCUGACAUGAGGAUCAUCUCCUCCCACGGCUGCAAGGUGGACAACUCGUCCCUGACGGGGGAGUCGGAGCCUCA